Molecule: ribosomal RNA, 402 nt
Filed under: uncultured bacterium
Lineage: Bacteria
Description: bacterial SSU rRNA
Rfam family: Bacterial small subunit ribosomal RNA
Source: RNAcentral
UGGGGAAUUUUGGACAAUGGGCGCAAGCCUGAUCCAGCCAUGCCGCGUGAGUGAAGAAGGCCUUCGGGUUGUAAAGCUCUUUCAGUUGGGAAGAAACGAUUGCAACUAAUAAUUGUAAUUAAUGACGGUACCGACAGAAGAAGCACCGGCUAACUACGUGCCAGCAGCCGCGGUAAUACGUAGGGUGCGAGCGUUAAUCGGAAUUACUGGGCGUAAAGGGUGCGCAGGCGGUUUUGUAAGUCAGAUGUGAAAUCCCCGGGCUUAACCUGGGAAUGGCGUUUGAAACUGCAAGGCUAGAGUGUAGCAGAGGGGAGUGGAAUUCCGCGUGUAGCAGUGAAAUGCGUAGAUAUGCGGAGGAACACCGAUGGCGAAGGCAGCUCCCUGGGCUAACGCUGACGCUCA